RNAcentral lists this ribosomal RNA (451 nucleotides) under uncultured bacterium. RNAcentral's name for it is "SSU rRNA". It matches the Rfam family "Bacterial small subunit ribosomal RNA", at positions 26 to 518 of the family's 1533-position model. The record is from RNAcentral.
AGGACGAACGCUGGCGGCGUGCUUAACACAUGCAAGUCGAACGGAUCACUUUCGGGUGGUUAGUGGCGAACGGGUGAGUAACACGUGGGUAACCUGCCCCUCACUCUGGGAUAACUCCGGGAAACUUGAGCUAAUACCGCAUAAGCCCGAAAGGGGAAAGAUUUAUCGCCAGUAAAUCAGCCCGCGUCCGAUUAGCUAGUUGGUGGGGUAAAGGCUCACCAAGGCUCCGAUCGGUAGCUGUUCUGAGAGGAAGAUCAGCCACACUGGGACUGAGACACGGCCCAGACUCCUACGGGAGGCAGCAGUUGGGAAUCUUGGACAAUGGGGGAAACCCUGAUCCAGCCAUGCCGCGUGAGUGAUGAAGGCCUUAGGGUUGUAAAACUCUUUCGACGGGGACGAUAAUGACGGUACCCGUAGAAGAAGCUCCGGCUAACUUCGUGCCAGCAGCCGC